GGGGAUGAUCGGUUUCGACAUUGCCUGCGAGACGAAGAGAAGCGGGUCGAGGAUGCAGAGUUAUCUCGUUAACGAUCUCUGUAACCAACAGGUGCCGAUUCCAAGCGCACCGACUUCGCUCUCGCCGCCUAAGGCAGAGUAGAUAGUCCGUCAGCCCGGGUACGUCUCCGCCCCGGUCGCUGGCGUCAUUGAGGAGACUUGCUGCGUGCCUGCGUCUCAGGAGCACGUGGGACUUCAACUGAGGCUGGGCUCGUCGACCUAGGUGUCUGCGACAAAGGUCGGAGCCGAGUAGAACGCUUUCCGCAGACUACGCCCGUAGAAGACUUCGAAUCACAGCAGUGGACGGGGGUUCAAUUCCCCCCAUCUCCACCA
Molecule: transfer-messenger RNA, 372 nt
Filed under: Microbacteriaceae
Lineage: Bacteria; Bacillati; Actinomycetota; Actinomycetes; Micrococcales
Also listed under: 2 other names
Description: Marinisubtilis indicus Standard tmRNA
Rfam family: transfer-messenger RNA
About the family: Bacterial tmRNA, also known as 10Sa RNA or SsrA, is named for its dual tRNA and mRNA-like properties. Its role is to liberate the mRNA from a stalled ribosome. To accomplish this part of the tmRNA is used as a reading frame that ends in a translation stop signal.
Source: RNAcentral